GGGAAGGUGGUUCAGUGGUAGAACGCUUGCCUUGCAUGCAUGAGGCCCUGG
RNAcentral lists this transfer RNA (51 nucleotides) under Dipodomys ordii (Ord's kangaroo rat). It matches the Rfam family "tRNA", at positions 1 to 51 of the family's 71-position model. From Rfam's summary of the family: Transfer RNA (tRNA) molecules are approximately 80 nucleotides in length. The record is from Rfam by way of RNAcentral. Lineage: Eukaryota; Metazoa; Chordata; Mammalia; Rodentia; Heteromyidae.